Molecule: ribosomal RNA, 254 nt
Filed under: uncultured bacterium
Lineage: Bacteria
Description: partial 16S ribosomal RNA
Rfam family: Bacterial small subunit ribosomal RNA
Source: RNAcentral
UACGUAGGGAGCGAGCGUUGUCCGGAUUUAUUGGGCGUAAAGAGCGCGUAGGCGGCUCGGUAAGCCGGAUGUGAAACCUCCAAGCUCAACUUGGAGCGGCCAUUCGGAACUGCUGUGGCUAGAGUCUGGUAGGGGAACACGGAAUUCCUGGUGUAGCGGUGAAAUGCUUAGAUAUCAGGAGGAACACCAGUGGCGAAGGCGGUGUUCUGGGCCAGUACUGACGCUGAGGCACGAAAGCGUGGGGAGCAAACAGG